AACGCGAAGAACCUUACCCAGAUUUGACAUGCAGUAGACAACGCUAGAAAUAGCGUCUUCCUUCGGGACUGCUGCACAGGUGCUGCAUGGCUGUCGUCAGCUCGUGCCGUGAGGUGUUGGGUUAAGUCCCGCAACGAGCGCAACCCUUAUCAUUAGUUGCCAACACGUUAUGGUGGGAACUCUAAUGAGACUGCCUGGGUUAACCAGGAGGAAGGUGAGGAUGACGUCAAGUCCGCAUGGCCCUUAUGUCUGGGGCUACACACGUGCUACAAUGGUCGGUACAGAAGGCAGCGAAGCCGCGAGGUGAAGCAAAUCCAAAAAGCCGAUCUCAGUUCAGAUUGUAGUCUGCAACUCGACUACAUGAAGACGGAAUUGCUAGUAAUGGCGAGUCAGCAACAUCGCCGUGAAUACGUUCCCGGGCCUUGUA
Molecule: ribosomal RNA, 427 nt
Filed under: uncultured Chlamydiae bacterium
Lineage: Bacteria; Pseudomonadati; Chlamydiota; Chlamydiia
Description: bacterial SSU rRNA
Rfam family: Bacterial small subunit ribosomal RNA
Source: RNAcentral